AAAAACAAAAUCUGAGUAGGUACAUAUAUUUCAUUUAGCAGUCGGAUUAAAAAUAUAUACGUUUGAAUUUACACAUUUUGUUAUCGGAAAGUACUUAAUGGUUGUACGAGCAGACAAAAAAGCGGUAUCAUUUACGUUGCGAUGACUGAAGAUAAGACUAUUGAGAUCGUAGAAUCUGCUCAGCAUGAAAUGCCGAUAGAAGAGAAGCAACCACAGUUUAAUCCGUGGCCUCAUUUGAAAGAUUAUUUUAAUUUUUCCAAGCGAAAUGCAAAAAACCAACUUCAACUCUUUUUUAAGUGCAAGCUUUGUGCCCCUAAAAAUACAACAAUCAAAGCACAUGUGAGCAGUUAUUUUAAUUUGAAAUCCCACAUAAGACGAAAUCAUCCGGCAAAUUUCGUAGCAUUUGAACAAUGUAUCAAAACAGGAAGUCUUCGGGGAAAGAAAGAAAUGAGUGUGGUGCAAGUAAUACCGAUCUAUUUCUAACAAAACCAGGACAAACUUUGUCUUCGAAUAUGCGCCAAACUUUAUUUAAUGAAUACCGCACAAACUCCAGCGUUCAUGAGAAGCAAUCCACGUUUGACGAAAAAAUCGUCAAUUUUUACGUUCAAAAUAUGUUAUCAUUUCACUCCGUGGAAUCCGAUUCAUUCAAAGUCAAAGAAUUGAUCACAACGUUGAACCCAAAAAUGUCAUCCAUGUCACGUAGAACGCUUGGCAGAAGGAUUACUGUACAAUAUAAGGAACUCGAGGAACUUUUGAUAAGAACCUUAGAAAAUAUCCAGUGGGUAUCUACAACGGCAGAUUGCUGGUCGGCACAUAAUCGAUCAUACAUCGGCAUGACAGUUCAUUGGUUGCAUCCGGAGACGCGUCAAAGACAGCAUGCUGUACUAGCAUGUUCACGAAU
Wyeomyia smithii (pitcher-plant mosquito) is the source of this 901-nucleotide long non-coding RNA. RefSeq lists it as uncharacterized. The record is from RefSeq and is a predicted model, not a curated record. Lineage: Eukaryota; Metazoa; Arthropoda; Insecta; Diptera; Culicidae. The transcript has 3 exons.